Molecule: non-coding RNA, 37 nt
Filed under: Trypanosoma brucei brucei
Lineage: Eukaryota; Euglenozoa; Kinetoplastea; Trypanosomatida; Trypanosomatidae
Source: RNAcentral
AUAAACACAAUAAUAGAUUCAUAGUGAGUGAGAAGUU